Molecule: small RNA, 412 nt
Filed under: Vigna angularis var. angularis
Lineage: Eukaryota; Viridiplantae; Streptophyta; Magnoliopsida; Fabales; Fabaceae
Description: Non-protein coding transcript
Source: RNAcentral
ACAUGACCUUCCUUUCGCAGUUGAAUAAGGAACUGCAUCUCAAGCGGAUGAUAUUCUAGAUGAUCUUUCAUCUGUAACCUUUAUAUCAAAGAAGAAAUCUGGUGAUUCCUGUAUGCGUGACAAUGAGAUGGUUUCAAAGCACAAGCUUGAUGCUGGUGCCGUGAAUAGAAAAAGCUUCCCUGUUGGCAUUGCUGCUGGUGACUCUUAAUCCAGAAGUUGGGGAAGGAAAACAAUUUCCAGUUGACUCUAGUGCAACCUAAUAUCCAUUUUGGUCCCAAAGAUUAACACAACAGGGAUGAAGAUCUAAGAAGUGCAUCCAACAAUCAAGGAGUAAUCACAAGAUUCAAGACUAAAAAGAGAGAAAAAGAAAAUGAAAUUCAACAACUAAAAGAGGCUACAAAAGAAAGCUGCU